Molecule: long non-coding RNA, 3194 nt
Filed under: Sus scrofa (pig)
Lineage: Eukaryota; Metazoa; Chordata; Mammalia; Artiodactyla; Suidae
Description: lncRNA (ENSSSCG00055001137.1)
Source: RNAcentral
UUUUUUUUUUUUUUUUUUUGCUUUUUAGGACUGCACCCAAGGCAUAUGGAGGUUCCCAGGCUAGGGGUCCAAUUGGAGCUAUAGCCACUGGCCUACACCAGAGCCACAGCAACGCGGGAUCCAAGCUGCAUCUGCGACCCACACCACAGCUCAUGGCAACGCUGGAUCCUUAACCCACUGAGCAAGGCCAGGGAUCGAACCCACAACCUCUUCGUUAACCACUGCGCCACGACAGGAAUUCCCCAAUGAUGAUGUUUUGAUCGAUGUUUUUCAUUCCUCUUCUCUGUGACAUCCCGCCACCCCACCCCCACCCUCACCCCAUAGAAUGGAGGCGCCUGUCCUCUCUUCAUUGCCCUCCCCACCCCCAUCCCCCGCCAGGGAGCUCUGCAAGGGAGCAAAGUGUGUAUGAAGGAGGGAGGGAGGGACAGGUUAGUUUCCUGGGCCUGAAACUAAAUGACAGUGUGUGAAACUAAAGCUGGAUUUUGCUGAUCUGUUGGCUCUUACCCAUGUGCACUCUCCACCCCAGCUUUUUUUAAAAAUUUUUUAAUUUUUGUCUUUCUUUUUAGAGCCACACCUAGGGCACAUGGAGGCUCCCAGGCUAGGAAUCCAGUUGGAGCUGUAGCUGCCGGCCUACACCACAGUCACAGCAAUGCAAGAUCUGAGCCACGUCUGUGACCUCCACCACAGCUUACAGCAGUGCUGGAUCCUUGACCCACUGAGCAAGGCCAGGGAUGGAACCCGCAACCUCAUGGGUCCUAGUCAGAUUUGUUUCCACUAUGCUAUGAUGGGAACUCCCCACCCACGCCAACCUUUUAAAAUGUCCAGGCAGGCAAGGUCCUCUCACAGGUGCUUGUGUAUCAGCCCAAGUAGCUACUAAUCCACCUGUGCCACCUUGGCCCGCCCAGGUUCCCCCGUGAUGAAGGGAGCAUCUCUCCUGCUCCAUGGGUGCCCAAAGCUGGGGACAGAUCAAAAGACCCAGGGUUUCUUGGGUCUUGUGUGAACAUAGGGUUUGAUAGGAUGGCAGAUCACAGCCACCAGGCUGAGUACAAAACCCACUUCCCUUCUGCUCUAAUUCUCAACCAGCCCUGAUCCCCCUGGUAGUUUUUCCCCACCUCUAAGUCUCCAGCCCACUGUUCCUUCCUGAUUUUGCUAGACAAAAUCUUUUUUGCUCGUGUGCCUCUAAACCCCAUGUGCAAGCAGAGCUCAGGUCUGUCCUCUGCAUCCAAUCUCCUGCCAGGACCUCCUGGGAUGGAUCGGUGGGUACCAGCAUAUGGAGAAGGUGGCAGUCACUGGCCAGGUGGAUCUCAGCUCAGUUCCACCCGGACGGGCUGCUCCACCACAGGAGGCCAUGGGAGUCACUGAGAGAUGGAAAUGGUUGAUGGCUUUCUUCUCCUGGUAGAAGUUUGUGUUAGAUUUGUUUCUAAUGAUGAAGUUGCACUUAAGUCAUUUUGCAGGUGGGGAGGUCAGGGAGUUGAAUUCAUUCAGAUCAAACUUAACUGGUUUGCAUGAUACUUGUUAGAUUAUCUUUUAAACCCCUCUUUCACCUGAUCUCUGUAUGUGAAAUAGUGAAAUGCUUUCGUAUUUAUCUCCCCGUACCAAGAGAGGUAUGGAUAUGUGGAGAGAUUAAUUUAUUAAAGGGCAAGUGAAGUUAUAGCCCCUUCCCUUUUUUGUUUUUUUAUUUUUAUUUUUAAUCAUUUUGCCAUGUCCACGGCAUGCAGAAGUUCCCGGGCCUGGGAUUGAAUCCCAGCCCCAGCAGUGAAAACGCCCAAUCUUUAACUUCUAGGCCACCAGCCCCUUCAUUUUUUAAAAUAUUACUUUCAACUCUAAUAACUGUUUCUAAAAUUUGACUCUAAGCAUCAGUGAAAUUGGGGACCACGACUGCUUACUCCCGUCAUCCUUUUAGCACCUGGCACCGAGGCACUUAGUGCUGCCGUAAUGCACAAAUAAAGAAUUUAUUGCAGGAUCUGCCACAUUGGAGCUGUCUGCUGGAGGAUGUAUUAUGUAAGAAGCUCGUGUGAAGCUUUAAAAUUGUAUCAGAUGAAGUAGGUGAAGUCCCUAGAGGAGGUGAAUCAGUGGGAGGAGGCUGUGAUGGUUUAUUUCUGUUCCCGCCUGGUACAGGCCCAGGAGGGUCUGCUGGCUGAUCCAAUGUAAAGCCUACAUGGCAGGCUGGGGGGCUGAUGGGCCCACAGCAGACCCAUGGGUUGGAGGCAUGGAGGAAGCCCAGCGGCAGCAGGCCUGGUUUGGCCCCAGGGCUGUGCAUGGGAUGAAAGUUGCAGGCCUCAUGGGCUCGGUAAAGUGGACUGGCCAUGUCCAUUUGGCAUUUAUUACAGCCACAGGGCUGGUUCACGACUCCAGGCGGGGGACAGGGGACUCUCUGCUGAAUUUCUCCUGGCUGCUUCUGUAUGGGCAUUAGCUUGGUUCUUUCCAGACUCUGAUGCAGCCCUAGCAGUUCCCAUGUUUACAUGUUAUAGGCGUGGCCACAGUGGGGGACGGUCCUGAUCCCCGGCCUGGCCCAAAUACUGCAUUGCUGAGCAACAUGAAAUAAUAGUUCCAUCAGCCACAGCCAGGCCUGGGGAUGAAGUCAGAGCCACACAGGACUCCCCAGGGCCCACCUGGUGGCGAUGAGUAAAUAGUCCUAGGGAAGAAAUUUAAUUAGGAAUCCAGUUUACACAGAAAAAUGUCUUUGGUGUUUAAAAUAAUUAAUAUUUUUACAAGUUGCUUUCAGGUUUUCAUUUGACCUGUGGGGGUGCAGGACAGUAGUGGAGCUACAGAAAGAUUAGGCUAGAUAUGUGGGUCCAGAAAAUAGCAAAAUGCGGUGUUGAGAAGAAGUGGGCAUCCGCCAGUUACUCACACUUGAUCUUAUCUUUUUCCAAAGCCUCGGUUUACAGCUCCAAGACGUGGGGGUGAUGAUUCGUGCUUGUCUGUAUCAUAAGAUUCUGCUGAAGAUUAGGUGGGUGGUUUGCCCCAGCCUCUCCUCUUCUCUCAUUCCUUAGGCUGUCCCUAGGUGUCUUAAUUUCUCAGGUGCAGAAUCAGGUGUUUCUCCAUCAAACAACCAAAACUAUCCAGAAAUCUGAUCUCCCACCUUGUUGCACUGGCUUAUUUUUUGGCAGUUUCUCCCUUCUCCUCACUUCAUUUCUGCUUCUCUUGUCUUGGUUUAGGCCAUCAUCUUCUGUUGCUGGAUGCUUUUGUAGCCA